RNAcentral lists this ribosomal RNA (279 nucleotides) under uncultured bacterium. RNAcentral's name for it is "partial 16S ribosomal RNA". It matches the Rfam family "Bacterial small subunit ribosomal RNA", at positions 506 to 784 of the family's 1533-position model. The record is from RNAcentral.
UGCCAGCCGCCGCGGUAAUACGGAGGGAGCGAACGUUGUUCGGAUUUACUGGGCGUAAAGGGCGUGUAGGCGGUUUUGUAAGUCAGAGGUGAAAUGUCUCGGCUCAACCGAGGACCUGCCUUUGAAACUGCAGAACUUGAGGCUGUGAGAGGAAACUGGAAUUCCUAGUGUAGCGGUGAAAUGCAUAGAUAUUAGGAAGAACACCAGUGGCGAAGGCGAGUUUCUGGCACAGUUCUGACGCUGAUGCGCGAAAGCUAGGGGAGCGAACGGGAUUAGAUA